ACAUGCAUACAACUUAGCGUUAAUGCAUCAGAUCCCAUUAGAACUCCGCAGUUAAGCGCGCUCGGGCUAGAGUAGUACUAGGAUGGGUGACCAUAUUUUACAUGCCUAUGGCAUUUU
This is a non-coding RNA of Picea glauca (white spruce), 117 nucleotides long. NCBI's taxonomy places the organism in Eukaryota, Viridiplantae, Streptophyta, Pinopsida, Pinales, Pinaceae. The record is from Rfam.